RNAcentral lists this ribosomal RNA (269 nucleotides) under uncultured bacterium. Its description in RNAcentral is "partial 16S ribosomal RNA". It matches the Rfam family "Bacterial small subunit ribosomal RNA", at positions 793 to 1055 of the family's 1533-position model. The record is from RNAcentral.
GUCCACGCCCUAAACGAUGUCAACUAGGUUGUUGGGUAUGUAAAUACUUAGUAACGCAGCUAACGCGAGAAGUUGACCGCCUGGGGAGUACGGUCGCAAGAUUAAAACUCAAAAGAAAUUGACGGGGACCCGCACAAGCGGUGGAUGAUGUGGAUUAAUUCGAUGCAACGCGAAAACCUUACCUACCCUUGACAUGGAUAGAAAUCCUGAAAGAGAUUUAGGAGUGACUCGAAAAGAGAACUAUUACACAGGUGCUGCAUGGCUGUCGU